UACAGAGGGGGCAAGCGUUGUUCGGAAUUACUGGGCGUAAAGGGCGCGUAGGUGGCCUUCUAAGUUGAACGUGAAAUCCCUGGGCUCAACCCAGGAACUGCGUCCAAGACUGGGAGGCUUGAAUCCGGGAGAGGGAUGCGGAAUUCCAGGUGUAGCGGUGAAAUGCGUAGAUAUCUGGAGGAACACCGGUGGCGAAGGCGGCUCUCUGGGACGGUACUGACGCUGAGACGCGAAAGCGUGGGGAGCGAACAGG
Molecule: ribosomal RNA, 253 nt
Filed under: uncultured bacterium
Lineage: Bacteria
Description: partial 16S ribosomal RNA
Rfam family: Bacterial small subunit ribosomal RNA
Source: RNAcentral